UCAGUCGACUCCUACGGGGAGGCAGCAGUGGGGGAAUAGUUGCACAAUGGGCGCAAGCCUGAUGCAGCCAUGCCGCGUGUAUGAAGAAGGACCUUCGGGUUGUAAAGUACUUUCAGCAGUGAGGAAGGUGGGGUAUGUUAAUAGCAUACUCAUUUGACGUUAGCUGCAGAAGAAGCACCGGCUAACUCCGUGCCAGCAGCCGCGGUAAUACGGAGGGUGCGAGCGUUAAUCGGAAUUACUGGGCGUAAAGCGCAUGCAGGUGGUUUGUUAAGUCAGAUGUGAAAGACCCGGGGCUCAACCUCGGAAUUGCAUUUGAAACUGGCAAACUAGAGUACUGUAGAGGGGGGUAGGAAUUUCAGGUGUAGCGGUGAAAUGCGUAGAGAUCUGAAGGAAUACCGGUGGCGAAGGCGGCCCCCUCGGACAGAUACUGACACUCAGAUGCGAAAGCGUGGGGAGCAAACAGGAUUAGAUACCCUGGUAG
RNAcentral lists this ribosomal RNA (481 nucleotides) under uncultured bacterium. Its description in RNAcentral is "bacterial SSU rRNA". It matches the Rfam family "Bacterial small subunit ribosomal RNA", at positions 328 to 793 of the family's 1533-position model. The record is from RNAcentral.